Molecule: ribosomal RNA, 253 nt
Filed under: uncultured bacterium
Lineage: Bacteria
Description: partial 16S ribosomal RNA
Rfam family: Bacterial small subunit ribosomal RNA
Source: RNAcentral
UACGUAGGGUGCAAGCGUUAAUCGGAAUUACUGGGCGUAAAGCGUGCGCAGGCGGUUUUGUAAGUCUGUCGUGAAAGCCCCGGGCUCAACCUGGGAAUUGCGAUGGAGACUGCAAGGCUUGAAUCUGGCAGAGGGGGGUAGAAUUCCACGUGUAGCAGUGAAAUGCGUAGAGAUGUGGAGGAACACCGAUGGCGAAGGCAGCCCCCUAGGUCAAGAUUGACGCUCAUGCACGAAAGCGUGGGGAGCAAACAGG